RNAcentral lists this transfer-messenger RNA (388 nucleotides) under Minisyncoccota bacterium. It matches the Rfam family "transfer-messenger RNA". From Rfam's summary of the family: Bacterial tmRNA, also known as 10Sa RNA or SsrA, is named for its dual tRNA and mRNA-like properties. Its role is to liberate the mRNA from a stalled ribosome. RNAcentral also lists the same sequence under 1 other name. Lineage: Bacteria; Bacillati; Minisyncoccota. The record is from RNAcentral.
GGGGAUGCUUGGUUUCGACUAUUAUUGGUUCGAAUAUAUAUGCAUGCCAAGUAUGAAUGUAUUCUUGUAAAACAUCAUUCAAUACAGAUAACUGGAAACAGUCUUUCUAAAGUAAAGUCUCCAUUUAUGGCAGGCUUUGCUCCAGCGUUCGCUUAAACGCCUACCUGGUGUCACAACAUUUGAUACUCAAUAAAAUGCUUGUGGCAUAAUCCUCAUUGAGUGUAGGUAUGUAGUGCCCAUCUCAGCGCUACGCCGAAAUAGACGAGAUUCGAGAAACUAUCAUUUCGUAUGAUUUUUAGAUACUUCUCUAAACAAAAACCAUACUAAGCUUGUAGACUUGUAUAUUCACAAUAACUGCACGGGGGUUCGAUUCCCCCCAUCUCCACAA